Alligator mississippiensis (American alligator) is the source of this 3694-nucleotide long non-coding RNA. RefSeq lists it as uncharacterized. Lineage: Eukaryota; Metazoa; Chordata; Crocodylia; Alligatoridae. The transcript has 3 exons. The record is from RefSeq and is a predicted model, not a curated record.
GGAGGCAAGGCCAUGGAACAAGCAACGGAGAGGGCAGGGAAGGAGGAGAAGGGAAGAAGCAACGAGAAGCCUUGAGAGGAGGUGGAGAGCUGGGAAGCAGAGGCUUGGAGUGGCUCAGAAGGAGGGCAGACCUGGAGACACGCCCCAAGAGAAAGGGGUGAAAGGAGGGGGCUGGCACACAACUGGGGAGAGCAACAGCUGGCAGCCUGCAGACUGGCCAGAGAGGGGCAGGACCAGAAAGAGGUGCAUGGCUCAUUUCAGGAGCUGAGCCUGCUGUGCCCCUUGCUGAAGAUUGAAUCACAAGAAGGGACAGAGCGACCCAGCAGAGAACAGUGGAAGAAUUCAAGCCAGAUCAGAAUUGGCAACACUGGGACUCGGAGUGAGGCGGUUGGAGCCCCACAAGAAAUCAGCAGAGAAAGAUCCCAUGAAGCACCAGCAAGGACUGUCUCCUAUCAAUAAAAACAAAAUGUGGCAGGUGAAUGAGAACAACUGACAAGAUGGGCUGAUAAUUCCAUUUUUGGGUCUGACUCUGACCUCGCAAUGGAGUAAGUCAACAGGUUGCCAAGAAUUGGUUACAACUACUGAUCCAUGCAGCUGACAACACUGGCAUUCUGGGGGUCAACAUAUACAACUUCAGAUUCCUGUUCUUUUUCCUAGCCUCCUGCUGGAGUCUGAUCCAGCCAUGAUUCCCUCUUGGUUAUCCUCUAGCUUUUCUUGGAGACUGGGUUCCUUUGAAUGCCAUUGAAUGCACUGGAAGCAACUUUACUUUCACUUCACUUGUACAUCUGACCAGAAGAGGGAGGUAGCGGCCAAGCAAAUUGUCCAUUGAGAUCAGAAAGAAUGGCAAUGAAGAGUAAUAAUGAAGAGAAAUACCCAUCAUUCCUAGAAAGCUGUAAGGCUUUUGCUUUGUUUUAUAGCCUGAUUUUUAUGCCAGGAAAAUUUUCUAGGUCUACUUUUGGGAAAAUGACAAAUCUUCCCAUGUCACCAUUUCCAUCAGUGGAAUGGGCUUUAUCAUCACAUACCAAAUAAUUUCUUUGCAAGUCCAGAACAUGUUAAAUCAACUCCACUCCAUGCUCUAAGUCUCACAUUAUUGUUCUGUAGAUUUGGGGCCUUUCUUGUUUCACCAAUCCAUCAAAAACUAAUUCUAAGUCAGGGAAACAGAUGGAACGUUCUGUGUAGUAGGCAGCACUGUACUGAGAUAAAUACACAUCAACUGUUCCAAAUUCUCCUAGACACACACUCUACUUAAACCAUACCUUUUCUCCCUGGCAGUGUUCCACGAGGAGAGGUAACAACUAGCACACAGUUACUAUGACUGUUAUAGUACAAUCUGAUUACUGGAGUAGAUUGCAAAUCUCCAGUGAUAAAGUAAGAACUGACUCAAACGUUUUCCCCUGAAUUGAACCAAAACAUUUUGUUAAAAUUUGGACAAGUUAUUCACUUUCUUUCUCCUCUAUCUUGUGAAAUGUGUGUUUGUAAUAUUUGAAGUCAUGUUUUUCAGGAGCUUUGCUGAAACUUAAUUGACCUCAGUUUUGAGUCCCAAAUAAAGUGAAGUCUUGUUUUUAGGUUUCUAACUGGCUAAUGUAGCAUCAAAGACCAGACCCUCCAUUAAUUUGACCCCAAAAGUAGCAGUAUAGGAGGGGAAAAAAUGCACAAAGGAUAAAAGGCAGAGAGCUUUCCAUCCCAAUUCUUGGACCACACAGGUUCAGCUAAGUUUGUGUCAGCAAAGCUUCCAGACUAAACCUCUUAACCUUUUCACGUUCCUUGUCCCCUCAAUCAUAAUAGAUACCUUGGCCAUUCUGGUCCAAUUCAGUGAUGGCAAAAUAUCUUUUGAGGGUCCUCUUGUAGCAAGAAACCUUUUUUUUUUUUGCCUGCCCCUCCCCUCCUCCAAUGUAAAGCCCCUCCAUAUGGCAAAAGCCCCUUUUGCAGUAUUUGCCCCCUUUUGGUUUGUACAUGCUUCUAUGGGUAUAAAAUAGUAUUCUGCAGCAGUAUGCCUCCCCCCCAUCCCCCCCCAUUGUAUUUGGUCUGUUUGUUGCAUGCGCCAUGGCAUUUCACCCUUUUAUGUUUUAUAUUAUAUGCUUUUUAACUUUAUAACAAAUGUACUUUAAGUUUAAAAGUAAGUUGUACCAUGUAACAAUGUUAGCAAGGGUGGGAAUCGAACUGCGGCUUCUCCGUAUUGAGUGGGUCCCUAAAGCAGAGCUUUCCAAACUGUGUGCCACAAGACAUUAGUAUGUCGGCGGCAGUGUGUAGGUGUGUCGCGCGAAAUGCAGAAAAUUUUGCGGAAGGGCAUCGCGGAGCUCCCUUACUCGCGUCUGCUUCCCUUGGCCCCUCCCCUGGAACUGAAUUACUGUGUCGCAAAAUGAUGCAUGUCUAAAAAGUGUGUCACCAACAUGAAAAGUUUGGAAAGCUCUGCCCUAAAGGAAUCAUGAUCGAUUGUGUAACACAGUAGCUAGCCAGGAUAACAAGUUAACAAGCAGCAAUUAACACCCAUGAAACCACAAGACUAAGGAGAGGAAAAGAUCAAUACAGAGCCAGGAACUCCCUGAAACUUCACUGUUAAAGGUACAGAAGUCCCAGUUUGAACUAAUCAACGUGGAAAACUGACUCUUGGGACUGAAUUCCCCCCGCCCCCAAUCAACCACUCCCAGAGCCCUAUUCAUCACGGCACUGAAUUAAUCAAAUUUCAUCAACGGACUCCCAAGACUGCACGUACUGAAGGGGAAUAAAAAGGAGUUGAAUCGCCAUUAUGUGUAAGCGAGCUGAUCACGUACCCAGCUUAGGCUAUGGGGAAGUCAAAAGAACAUGACCCAAAACCGCGAGGCUAGCGCUAACUGUAACAAUCCUGUCCUAGCCCAGUAAAAGCAGAAACUUAGUGUAAAAAUAAUUCUGGCUACUGGUCACGUAUUGGCCUGCUGAGUCAGCUCAGAACGGGAAGUGACCCUGUGGUUACAAGCUAGAAGAAACCAGUUAAACUAACACUGCUAUACUAAAAAUAAGUAGAAACAUGCGCAUUACUAUCAAAGUCAUGGCAAAUGCUGAUUGGUAUAUGUUGUUGCUGUGCUUAUGAUGUAAUAUUUUCUAUAUAAACUCACCUCACCUAUUGUAUGGGGUCAGACCUCUACACAAUUCUCCAAUUGUGUAUGAGUCUGUCCAGAAUGCAUUCUCUAAUAAACCAAGUUCUUUUUAACUUUGAGUAGUCUGUUCGUCUAAGCCUCUGCCCAAUGAACCGGGGACAAGUUUUCCCCAACAGUACCUGCGGACGUGACCUCUGGGGCUGACAGCUGCCAUCCAGCAACCACCAAGGGGGAGGUCCUACAAGGUCAAUGACCCCUGGAUUGGGUAAGUCCGAAAAUUGGGAAGUCACCAAAGUCUGCCAGAGAGGGAUAAAAGGCAGCAAAGAAUUACCCGCAAUGGUGCCCUCUUUGACCUGACCAGCACCCUGCCUACCCAGCCGGAAGGACCAGCUGGCAACCCCCUUCUGAAGCAACAUUGCACUGAAAGAAGCCUCUACUGGCCAUCGACGGUGGACUCCAGCACUUGGGAAUAGGUUUAUCUUGACACCGGUGCUUAGUGUUCAUAGCUAGCUACUGUGACUGUGUGUGUGUAUGUGAAUGUUUGUGUUUUUGAGAGGAUCAGCCCCAGGGUUUAUGAUCUCACUUUUGCAUCCAUCUAAUAAACUAGAAUUUUAUGAUGA